This 468-nucleotide ribosomal RNA is filed under the name uncultured bacterium. Its description in RNAcentral is "partial 16S ribosomal RNA". It matches the Rfam family "Bacterial small subunit ribosomal RNA", at positions 28 to 507 of the family's 1533-position model. The record is from RNAcentral.
GACGAACGCUGGCGGCGUGCUUAACACAUGCAAGUCGAACGGAAAGGCCCUGCUUUUGUGGGGUGCUCGAGUGGCGAACGGGUGAGUAACACGUGAGUAACCUGCCCUUGACUUUGGGAUAACUUCAGGAAACUGGGGCUAAUACCGGAUAGGAGCUCCUGCUGCAUGGUGGGGGUUGGAAAGUUUCGGCGGUUGGGGAUGGACUCGCGGCUUAUCAGCUUGUUGGUGGGGUAGUGGCUUACCAAGGCUUUGACGGGUAGCCGGCCUGAGAGGGUGACCGGCCACAUUGGGACUGAGAUACGGCCCAGACUCCUACGGGAGGCAGCAGUGGGGAAUAUUGCACAAUGGGCGGAAGCCUGAUGCAGCAACGCCGCGUGCGGGAUGACGGCCUUCGGGUUGUAACCCGCUUUCGCCUGUGACGAAGCGGGAGUGACGGUAAUGGGUAAAGAAGCACCGGCUAACUACGUG